This 446-nucleotide ribosomal RNA is filed under the name uncultured bacterium. Its description in RNAcentral is "bacterial SSU rRNA". It matches the Rfam family "Bacterial small subunit ribosomal RNA", at positions 227 to 695 of the family's 1533-position model. The record is from RNAcentral.
GGGCCUGCGUUCCAUUAGUUAAAUGGUAGGGUAACGAGCUACCAUGACUGCGAUGGAUAGCUGAUCUGAGAGGGUGAUCAGCCACACUGGGACUGAGAUACGGCCCAGACUCCUACGGGAGGCAGCAGUGAGGAAUAUUGCGCAAUGGACGAAAGUCUGACGCAGCAACGCCGCGUGGGGGAUGAAGCACUAUGGUGUGUAAACCUCUGUAGACAGGGAAGUGACGGUACCUGUAAAGUAAGCUCCGGACUUAACUGUGCCAGCAGCCGCGGUAAUACGGGGGGAGCGAGCGUUGUCCGGAAUUACUGGGCGUAAAGGGCGUGUAGGCGGCUUGACAAGUCAGAUGUGAAAGCCCGCGGCUUAACCGCGGAAAUGCAUUUGAAACUGUUGAGCUUGAGUGCGAGAGAGGGUAGUGGAAUUCCCAGUGUAGCGGUGAAUGCGUAGAU